This 73-nucleotide transfer RNA is filed under the name Felis catus (domestic cat). It matches the Rfam family "tRNA". From Rfam's summary of the family: Transfer RNA (tRNA) molecules are approximately 80 nucleotides in length. The record is from Rfam by way of RNAcentral. Lineage: Eukaryota; Metazoa; Chordata; Mammalia; Carnivora; Felidae.
GUCUGGAUGGCUCAGUUGGUGGAGCAUGCAACUCUUAAUCUUGAGGUUGUGGGUUCGAGCCCCACGCUGGGUA